AUGACUAACAUUGUGUUAUGUGGUGGGAUGAGGAAAGAUCCUAAGGUUGGAGGUGGUGUCGGUAGAACUCGAGAAGUUGCCAAGAACCGAACCCAACACUCAUCAAGGUAAAUAGACGAAUGGAGUAUGCUAGUUCGGGAGCUUUAGGAGCUUUAGACGUUGGAUUCACUAUUUGCGUUUUUGUACUUUAAAUGACUACUUGUGGAUUUGAAUGAUUGUAACCAUGACUGACAUUUAUUUGGGUAUUCGUAACCAGGGGUAUUGUUAUAUUUAGAGUAUUAUAACUUUUGGGCUCUUAGUACCCAAUGAGAAUAAUAAUGAAUGAAUUAUGUUUUUCUGCAAUUUAAAUUAUAUGAUAAUAUAAUAUGCGUAAAGAGUAUUUUUAAGGAAUGAUUCCUGAAGGUUUUAAGUAAGAUGAU
Molecule: non-coding RNA, 419 nt
Organism: Lupinus albus (white lupine)
Lineage: Eukaryota; Viridiplantae; Streptophyta; Magnoliopsida; Fabales; Fabaceae
Source: the annotation of a GenBank genome assembly